UACAAAUCACCUUGCUGUGUAAUGGAGGGAGGUGGCCCGUGGAACCUGCAUGAGGUAGGGUUUUUUUUUUUUAUUCCAUUCUGAUUUGUUGCUGAUUUCCUAGCUUCCUGGUCUCAGCGGGACGCCCGGCAGUGUGGGCGGUAGCCUGGCAGCUGGGCACCAGCCCGUGUAAAUUACAGAGGCAGCUCUCUGGGCCCGCUAACCUGGCCCCGCAGCAGGCUCGGCGUCCUGUGCCUUCCAGGGAAUUCUGCUGCCCACUGCUGGGACUUUCCAGCCUUCCUCUUGCCUGCCUUCCUGCGCUGCGUGCUCUAUUUGACCCUGGAAGUGCAAGUCAGCGAAGACCGCCUCGACCUUCCAAAGAAGAGCUAGUGAUUCUAACUCUAUGCUUGGGUGGAGCUUGGGGGGUACUUGUGGCUUGCGAGACACGUUUUUGUGUUGAGAAGUACCAAUCCCAACCUAUUCUACAAACGAGCCAAGAGCUUAUUAGCUUCUGAUGCCUUAAAGCAAUGAACUUUUACAAGGAUGAACACCAAGGUCUGAGGUCUCGUUGUGUCCUAAAAUUGGAUAUCGACAAACCAGUUCAGUUUUAAUACUAUUUUGAGCUGUAAUAUAUUUUGAACUUUUUCUCUAGACGUUUCAGUCCGAUUUGCGGGGGGGGCGGGGGGGAGGAUUUAAAAAAAUCAAACACCAUUUUAAAGUUAGUCUGAAAGCAUAUGCUGUCUCACAAAUGCUGACAAACAGGCCUUGGUUUCCUCCUUGGGGAAAUGAUGGUCUCCAAAUUCCCUUCUGGCUCCAACAGGUUAGGUAUUUUCUUUAUGUGGAUAUUGAAGACCUCCCCUACUUAGGAGACCUAGUUUCAGGAUCACUCACAAUACCUACAGCGGCUCUGUACAUUAGAAAUUAAAAAAUCUAGAAGGGAAAAGUCCUUUGGAGGAAACGCUUCACAGAGGAAGCAAGCUUCAUUGCUGGGACCCAGACCACCUAAGGCAAUGAAUAGCUCAGGGAAACAGUCGGGGAAAGAAAGAUCUUUGACAAAACAGCAGGAGGGAAGACUGUGGCAUUUUGUCUCAUCAGGAAAAAAACAUGCCGAAACCUGAUUAAAGUUUCUGGAUAACAUUUGUGAGAGUCCCACUCCACAACUCCUUAGAAAAUGCUUUUUCUUUGAUCCACUCAGAUGCAUUUGUUAGAAUGGAAAGCAAUUGCAGCUAAUCGUUAUCGGGACUCUUUGAGAGAGAAAAAAUGGCCAUGAAAACAAGUACAAUGGACUUAGUUGCAGUUUCUUCUUAUUUCUCCCUUUCCCCUGUCCUUCCAUGGCAGAGCACAUAGCCACUCCUUGAAAAUGAUCAGGUUGUGCCAGGAAAAGCGUUUGCUGUCAUAGAAUCUGGUCUCCUACUGGUGGGGGAGGGGGAGUGACAUAGAUGAGGUUGAUGUUUGGCGACUUCCAGCUUCUUCCAUUUUCCCUAGUGGGCACUCACUCCUCCUCUGGCGUCCUUGUCUGGUGUCUUACCCUCAGACCUUUCCCAGCCCUGGAUCUCAAAAACCCGUUCACUCUGCUGUACAGGCACUUGCUUACCUUCUCUCACGUGGCACCCACAGUGGAUUUACAUUUUAGGGUGAGGAAUCCCUUUAAGAAUGACUUUCUCCCACCUGCCCCAAAAGCAAUCAUUUAAGCUAUUUUUAAAAAUGCAGCACCCAGGGGUGCCUGGGUGGCCCGGUCAGUUAAGCGUCGGAUUCUUGAUCUCGGCUCAUGAGCUCAUAGUUCAUGAGUUUGAGCCCGGCAUGGGACUCUGUGCUGACAGUGCGGGGCCUACUUGGGAUUCUCUCUCUCUCUCCCUCUCUCUCUGCCCCUCCCCCGCAUGUGCUCUCUCCCUCUCUCUUUCUCUCAAAAUACAUAAAAAGAAACUUUAAGGGGCUCCUGGGUGGCGCAGUCGGUUAAGCGUCCGACUUCAGCCGGGUCACGAUCUCGCGGUCCGUGAGUUCGAGCCCCGCGUCGGGCUCUGGGCUGAUGGCUCGGAGCCUGGAGCCUGUUUCCGAUUCUGUGUCUCCCUCUCUCUCUGCCCCUCCCCCGUUCAUGCUCUGUCUCUCUCUGUCCCAAAAAUAAAUAAACGUUGAAAAAAAAAAAAAUGCAAAAACACAAAGCAUAAAGAAUAAAACAAAUCAUACCCAAAAUUUCAAAUUUUUUUGGCCCAGAAAUGACCAUGAUUAAUAUACUGGCCAGUUAUUUAUAUAUAUUAUACAUUAUUUAUAUAUAUUUCUGUAUAAUGUUAUAUACAUAAGUAUAUGUAAGUUAUAUAUAUAAGUAGUAUAUAUAUAUAACUUAUAGUAUAUAUACACUACUUAUAGUAGUAUAUAUAUAUAGCUUAUAGUUCUAUAUGCUUAUAUAUACUAAUCAUAGUAUAUAUAUAUAUAACUUAUAUAUAUAUAACUUGUAUAUAUAUGUACUAUAUAUAUACAUAAGUAUAUAUAAGCUAUAUAUAAUGUUAUAUACAUAAGUAUACAUAAAUACAUAUAGACAGGUGGACGUAGGUAUAUAUGAGACAGAUAAAAAGAUAGAUGAGAUAGAUGAUAAAGAUAUAUAUAUAUAUAUAUAUAUAGGUAAUAGAUGGUAGGUAAAUAUAGAUGACAGAUAGAUGAUAGAGCUAGAUAAUUCUUUAAAAAUACUAAGACUUUCUAGCAGUGUGGAGAAUACAGAGAGCAUCCUUUGGACAUCUGUAAUAAUGAGCCUAAUUGAUGUGUAUGAACCCACAAAUGGUCCUGCUCAAAGAACCUGCGUGCUUCACUGGACCUGUGUUACCUCCCUUACCCCAGAGAACAUGCGUAUAGCGCUCCAUUGCCCCAUUCCUUUACCGUCCGUCCUACACUCCCGGCCCUCCUUCCAGGUCUUUCCAACCCCACUGGCCACACCAACAUGGAAGCCAGAGAGUUCAGGAGCCCAUUGAUACAACAGAUGAAAGUCACCUCCUCCUGGGGCUGGAACAGGGGGUAAAAUGGAUCUGGCAGAGCAGAGUCUGUCCUGCAAAUGGGGAAACAUGAGCCUUAGGAGCUUAUCAUCUUAAUGAGACGAGACCCGCACACACUCUUUAGCAUGCAAAUUUGCACUGUGUUCUGCUGAAGUAGCAGAUAUUUUGCUACACGUUCACCAGGUUCAUUUUCGGUUCUUGGCUAUGCGUUCCCCUUCCUGUCUCAGCAUCCCUGGUGUCUCUACCUAUAACACGCAUCCCCUUCACCCUUCAGCUAUCAGCUGGAACACAUCUUAAGGAUGCCUUCUGUGUCCCUCCCCCACCCCUAUUUUGAUCAAGUCUCCUGGCACAGAUUCUCUGGAGUCCCCAGCUAUCUUCCUUACAGACUCUAUGAGGGUUUGUAACAUUAAAGGUAUGAGCUUACGCUAUGCCCCCCCCCCUUAGACUAUAAGCACUCCAAAGAGCCCAAGGCCAUCGCUCAGUAGUGCCCGUGGACAUCUAGCAUAUCACUUGGUGCAAGGAGAUGUCCAGUAAAGACGUGUUGACGAGCUAAGGGACCCAGGGAAGAAGGGACCUGGGCAUUCCCGUCAGAGAGCACCUCACAAAAAGGCCGAGUCAAGAGAGGGCACUGUGUGUUGUAAACUGCUCGUGUUUCAGCCUGAAUGAAGCAUGGGCUUGGCCUGGGGAAGUCACUGGAGGGGAGCUAGAAGGAACACAAGAAAUGACGACAGAGAUGAAAGCCAGGAGCCAGAUCCCGAGGGCCUCGUGUGAUUUUUCUUGAGAGUUUGUACUUUUAUCGGACAUCUGUGGAGAUCAACAGGCAAAUGCUUGGCUUUUUAAGGAAGAUUUCUCCAAGAGAAGGACUUCUCAGCAGCGUCGAGACUGGAGGGCGGGAUUCCAGCUCAGUGACCGAUUCCUGUUAGCACAGAACCAUUGUGGCAAUAAAUAAUCAGCUAGAAAUUACGGGGAGGGUGGAUUUUGAAAUGGGUCCUGAGGAAUUGAAUGGGGGCAGGAGCCUGAUAGGUUGGAUCACAGGGGAAAUUCCCAGUGUGGCGGUCACAACGGGCAGCCAAUAAAUGUUGAGUACAUAACUGUGACCAAAUCUUUAUUUAUAUACUUGUUUUAGCCCCCAAGAAAGUGUUUCUCUUAAUCAACUAACUUAUUUUUAAUGUUUAUUUCUUUUUUGAGAGACAGCAUGAGAAGGGGAGGGGCAGAGAAAGAGAGGGAGACACAGAGCACAGAACCGGAAGCAGGCUCCAGGCUCCAAGCUGUCAGCACAGAGCCCGGCGCGGGGCUCGAACUCACAAACUGUGAGAUGGUGACCUGAGCCGAAGUCAGACACUGAACCGCUUAACCGACUGAGCCACCCAGGCGCCCCUAAUGGAUGAACUUAAGGAAGUUUCCUAGAAGCCGGAGUGUGAUUUUAGUAGCCUCAGAACUUGCCUCAGGCUCCUGUAUUGCUUUAGUCUCUAUUUAACCACGUACCCCUGUCUUUUCUUUAGGGGACUCACUGUUCCUGAGAACGAAGUUACCAGAUAAGAUGCCAUUCUCCUUUUUUUUCUUCAUGUUCUCACCUAACGCUUCUGUUACCAUCAGCUCUCUCCCUCUCAAGACCUGCAUCAGACAUUUUGCAUCUAGGAAUUUUCCUGAAGACCCAAAAAGAUCAACUUCGGUCAGAAACAGCCUCGAAAAAGCCCUUGUUCAUCAGAAGGCGGGAGGCAAGGACCAAAGGAAUAUCUACCGUGGGCCAGACUUUCGACGUACAGGCUGUCCCUUCCUUCAUGAAUGCUAGGAGACACGUCCACAUGGUAAUCACUGCAGGGGUACAAUUCCUUGUGACAGCUUCCUGCCCGAUGGCAGCACAGUGUUUUGGGGAUGAAACACCUUGAUCAUUGUCAACGGCACUCAUACGGGCGCUGAAUGCCUCCAGGAUGAAGUGUGUGCUUAUGACCUGUGUGGGGUCCUGGGAAGAGGUGCUUUCUGACCCAAGUGUUGACAAUUCAGACCAGAGGCUGUUGCAAUGGAUGUCUAUAAUGUCUGUCUGCCCUUUUUUCAAAAAACAGCUCCCAAGGCUUCCUCUAGGCAAAAACUCCUUCUUAUGCUCAUGCCGUGAAAUCUCAGUACAGCUAAACUCACCUUUGGCUUUCGAUGUCAGAGUAAU
Molecule: long non-coding RNA, 5121 nt
Filed under: Lynx pardinus (Iberian lynx)
Lineage: Eukaryota; Metazoa; Chordata; Mammalia; Carnivora; Felidae
Source: RNAcentral